RNAcentral lists this ribosomal RNA (398 nucleotides) under uncultured bacterium. RNAcentral's name for it is "bacterial SSU rRNA". It matches the Rfam family "Bacterial small subunit ribosomal RNA", at positions 976 to 1375 of the family's 1533-position model. The record is from RNAcentral.
AGGUCUUGACAUCCCGAUGAAACACUUAGAGAUAGGUGCCCUCUUCGGAGCAUUGGAGACAGGUGGUGCAUGGUUGUCGUCAGCUCGUGUCGUGAGAUGUUGGGUUAAGUCCCGCAACGAGCGCAACCCUUGGAUUUAGUUGCCAGCAUUGAGUUGGGCACUCUAGAUCGACUGCCGGUGACAAACCGGAGGAAGGCGGGGAUGACGUCAAAUCAUCAUGCCCCUUAUGACCUGGGCUACACACGUGCUACAAUGGCCGGUACAACGGGAAGCGAAACCGCGAGGUGGAGCGAAUCUUUAGAAGCCGGUCUCAGUUCGGAUUGCAGGCUGCAACUCGCCUGCAUGAAGUCGGAAUUGCUAGUAAUCGCGGAUCAGCAUGCCGCGGUGAAUACGUUCCC